GGGUGGGCUAGUCUAAGCAACUCCAAGGUGGGAGAUGCUGGUGGUCCCAAGACGACAUUUGAGUGGCAAAGACCUGACUAUUUGAGAGAUGGAGCGAAUGCAGGUCUUCAGUAUUCGCAUCUAAGGACACAUGUAGAUGCAGGCGUUCUCGCGGCUGAGAAAUAAAGAUCCUCCCACUAGGCCAGCUGAUGAGAACACAGUUACAACCAGUCCCACCGUGUGUGCAGCGCACCCAGACCAACAGUCCGAGGGAUGGUAGAAUCGUGCCUCAGAAGCCACCUGACUUUCGAGCUUUGAUGUCAGAAUACGAAAUGCAAACUUCGACUUUUGAUUCACAUUCAGGGUAUUCUAAAUUCAGCGUGGAAUUGAUAUUCUCGGGGUGACCUUCAAGCAGCAAGUCCUGACGGCCUCGCUCGGCUGGCCAUGAUGCCUCACUGUGCACGUUCUUUUAUCUAAGCCACAGGCCCGACAGGAGCAAGGUCAGGCUGUUUGAAUUCAAAGGGCUGAAUUAUAAAAUGAGACUUUAUCCUGAGAGCACUGAGAAAUAUAAACCAAGAAGAAUUGACCAUCUAUGGGCAAAGUAUGUAUUCAUGUGAAGCAGAAUCUACAUGGCUAUGUUAGAAUGUCUGAGCAUCGUCUAUACCUGGGAAUCUAAUAUGCAAGAGGAAAGCGUGCUUCUUUAGCAUCUGAUAGUAAUCCCAUAUGCCCACAAUGAAAUUGGCAUGAAUAAUUCCCUCCAUCUAAUUUCUUGUACAUUCGUAAAGUGUCCCUAAAAAUAAACAUGUAAUAAUGGA
Molecule: long non-coding RNA, 794 nt
Organism: Equus caballus (horse)
Lineage: Eukaryota; Metazoa; Chordata; Mammalia; Perissodactyla; Equidae
Source: RefSeq, a predicted model, not a curated record